This is a non-coding RNA of Rattus norvegicus (Norway rat), 12175 nucleotides long. Lineage: Eukaryota; Metazoa; Chordata; Mammalia; Rodentia; Muridae. The record is from RefSeq and is a predicted model, not a curated record.
UUUUGAACCACUCCACAUAAAUCACAACAGAAAAGCCAACUCCAGUCCACGACUGGAAAACUCAAGGGACCUCCCAGUCAGGGACUCCAAAGUUAGCCUCAAAAGGGACUUCACAGUCUUUGACCUUUUGGGUUUUUUUUCCCCCUUCCUCCCCUGUGUGUUUUGUUUUUAAACCAGACUGACGGCAAGUUUUAGUUGUAAAGCUUGGUGGAAACAAUGACAGCCUCGCCUUUUGCACUUACAACCAAGCCUGCUUGUCACACUUGGACACUUUUUGACUGCAUGGUACUUGUGUUCUAACAGCUCACACGCUGUCCUAAAUUCAUCGUGGAAAAACUUUCAGAAGCUAGUAAAAUUUUAAAGUCCAUCUUUCCAAGGCUAUGCUCACCCUAGGGCGAUAUAUAAUGGGGUCCGGGAUCACAUUCCUUUGAUAGUGAAAAACACCACAUCCCUUUAAAAAGUGCCAGGAUCCGGUGAGGAGUAAGAAUACCCGGAACCACAAACUUUUAGACAAAAGGUAAGGCGACUGGAAUGCUCCAAGGACCCCCCCACAGGGAAAAGCGAGGUGCGAGGGUCCCCUGGAACAUCGGCCGCAAAGCUCUACCCCAGAAACAGCACUAGAAACCACGCGGUGGCUCGCCUGGGCAUGGGGUGUCAGGGAAGACAAUGAAACUUGGAGGCGCACAAACAAGGCGCUGAGCGUGUUUCUUGACAACGUGCCAGCAGCGUGGCGAGGCUGAGUCUCCCCAUAACAGCCCCUCGUGUUGUGUCUAGAAGAAAAGAACAGCAACUACCAUCAGAGACACAGCCUCAACAAAGAACAGCUACCGCUCCAGCCGGGGAGCCACCGGGCGGAAAAGUCCCAUCAAGGUAGCGGAGCCCAGAAGCAGGGUCAUGUCUGCCAGCCCGUGGCGAGAGUAUGGUCCGCAUCCCUCAGCUGCCACACCGGUUUCUCUUUUGGGGCCUUUCCUCUCCCGGCUGGCGAAGAGUGAGUUUAGUUUGCAAAGGAUGGGGAGAGGGUUAAGGACAUCUCCUCUGUCCACCCCCGGGGAAGAAAAGACACCCCCACCCUUGUUUUUGACAGCUGCCCUAAAACUCCACCGUCCCUGCUCUAGCCGCCCCAGGCAGCGGCUUCUGAUUCAAGGGGUGGGGCACCGAAGGAAAAGUAUUCCGGACAAGAACCAACUUCUUCCAGAAGGUGCAGCUGCCAUUGACACGCGGGCGCGGCGCGGCGCGGCGCACCCUCCUCCUCGUGGACUCUUCUGCCAACAGUGACAGUGGGAGUGUGUGUGUGUGGGGGGGCAGACAUAGGCACCCGGGGCAAAUGUCUAUUCCCCGGGGCUAAAGCUCUGAGUUCCGGAUUGGAUUGCAAGGCAGUUUCGAAAUCUAACACGUUGUGGAUAGACACUUGUCAUACUCACAUGCUCUUUAAACGUCUCGGCCAGGGGACGGCCAGAACGUGCGUGUGUGCCCCACUGCGACUCCCCCACCCCCCACACGCCUUUAGAAAAAAGAUGGACGACUACGCCUGGACUGCUCAUCUGUUUCGGUAAACAGUGUCUACUUUGUGGGCUAAUAUCCCACCAGAGGACACUCCCCUCCACCCUUCAGUAUUUCAAACAGAAACUAGCCAUUAAAUAAACACUCGUUCCUAUUGGUUUAUUUUGCUUGAGAGGGGCGCUCCAAAGGGAGUUCCACGAAGAAUCCCCCCCUCCCCAAAUACAAGCCAGAUGCUGUUUUGGCCAACUUCGAGACGCACAUGCCCGCACUUCUGGGUCUAGAUUCUACCUAUGCCCGGUUGUUUAAAAAAAAAAAAUGCAAAGAAAACCAACUGUCACAUGUCACGGAAGACUUUCCCCAUUAGAGGGGGGGAAAAAAACGAAGAAAAACCCCAAACGUAAAUAAGCUUUGUAGCGACGUCACCGCCGGUGUCUCUAGUUUCGGCUCUGUGGCUGUUCUGGUUUUGUGACCUCGGUGGAGAUCCGGCAGGAGGAGACAGACCCGUGAAAACAAGGUUAAAGCCGAGUCACACUAAGGCGGCCACAGGAUGACCCGCUAGACUUUGGAACCUGUUUACGAUUACGUUGGAAAUUAAAGCAAGCCUCCGCCGCGCCCCCUUCCCAAAGACAACCCGUUCCGAGGAGCGCGUUAAAACCCCCGAGUCAAAAAAGAAGCUUGGGUGGUUUUUCCAAAAUGAACCAAGUGGAGGAAGAGUCACAGUAAGCAGGCAGGAAUCUCAAAACGACCCUCCCCUCCCCCCAAAUCCUGUGGUUUGCAGAGCGCUCGCUCGGUAAGAGAGCACACGCGGGAAUCGGCGCAGGCGGCGGUUGCACGGCAGUGUCCAGGGCGAACCCACCGGCUGGCAAGCACCUCCGCAAGCCGCCCGGGGCGCAGCGCUUUCCCGGACCUGACUGGGGAUGACUCAGCUGCUGCGCUCCAGUGCGGGACUCCUGUGGUGCGGGAGGGGGCCCGCGGAGGGCCCGGGCGCCCGUUGGAGGGCCCUCGCUCUGGGGUUUGAAGGGGUGUUUGUGGCUGGGAUUGGUGGCUCACAUCCGCCGGGGACUCGGGAGAGAUGGGAGGACAGACGCAGGGAGGAGGAGCUGGACGGCGUGAGUGGCAGGAGCCGAGUCCGGACCUGGCGGUGACUGCCUCGUCGCUUUGUUUGCUAACUUGGACUGUGGCUUUCGGGGGGCCACCCCACGGAACCCGCCUCGGGUCCGCUAAGCCCAACCCACGGCAGCACGAGGCCGAAACGUUCCUUCCCGGCGGUUAUGCGCGGCCACGCGGUGGCUCUCAUUAUGUACACAAAGGUAGCUUUUCUUUUCUCCCAAGUCAGCCUGGCUAAUGAAUGCGAUUCUCGGGCGGCACUGGUGGAAACCGGGUUUACCGUUUGAAAACAAACUUUACAGGGCGAGCGGGAGCCGGUACAGAGUAGAAGAAGCCUCUCUCAAACCAGGACGCGAGGGGAAAUGCAGAAUUAAAACUCACCGUGACGCGAAGGCCAGCCGGACCCCGCCAAUGCACACCUCCUGCUCGUGUAAAUCAUUUCGAGGCAGUUGGGAAGCCGGAGCGCGCUGGCCGGGUUCUGAGAUCAGCUGAAGCCCCACGGUGCCCCUCCCCCAGCCCCACUCCACCCCUAAGGCCGAGCUCGUUGGGAGUUUCGCGUUCCCGCAGGACUGUGCGCCGGGUCUUUUACAACUCCAGAAAAGGGGAACGCCCCCGCCCCCCUCCUCCCCGGCGCGAGCUCAUAACAUCCGCAAUAUUUUUUUUUAAUCCGCUGUCUGCACGGCGGAAAAACAAGCUUCGGUUCUGCCUGUGUCAGGGCCUCUCGGUGUAACUGAUUCAAGUGACUUCGGGUUAGUUGCUGUUGCCACGUGUUACUUACUGAACGCUUAUGCCUCAUAAUCAAAUUGUCUAAGUGCAACCGAACGAUUUUUCUGCGCUCUCACAGCCUGGUGAUAACCGUUUCUCACCAUUAUCUCUGUGUGUGUGUGUGUGUGUGUGUGUGUGUGUGUGUGUGUGUGUUGUUGUUGUUGUUGUUGUUUUUCUUCUGUUUUAACAGCUUUUCUUGUCUUAAGACAAGCAGAGCUGUUAAAAAGACAAAUCCGUUUUCGCGGUCUCCAGACCCUGAAAGGGCAGAAAUUCAAAUGGCACAAACUUGGGAAGGCUGAGAGAGGAGGCGGGAUGAAUAAGUAAGUGCUCCAGGUCCGUUAAAGGCUUGAGGGAGGUGUUUGUUUCACCUGGACGGUCGAUUAGGUAUGAUUCCCAUCAGGUGCUGGGUCUGGUGGGACUCACAUAGUCAUUGGAUCUCGUUCCCUCGAAGCCUAGCGAGGGCAGAUAUUUAUAAAAUAUGCAGGCUGCUGGGCUUCCAACACUGCACAAGGGACUUGUAAUCAUCUCGUCACAUCUCAGCUCUGAGGAGCUCUAGCUGCUCAAGGCAAGAGCUAACCAUUGUCUUUGCAAGGGGCCGGAGUUGGUCCCGGCCAUCUUGUGAUGAGUUUAUCAACACUAUCAGAAUAAUUCUCUUCUUCAGAAAUAAGUAGCUGGCACUACUGAUCACUUUCUUCAAGUCAACCCAGUCGCCCGCCUUUCCUUUUUUUUUUUUUUUUAAAGUGGAAGUCACUCUUCUUAACCUAGGUGAUGUGGGCUGAAGUUCCCUGAAAAAGCCACACCUAGCUGAUUCUGCUGGGUGAGUGCUUGAUUAGGGCCUCCUGGUUGGGGACAGUUGGAAUGAUACAGAUCCAGAGUCAGAUUAUCCUGAUCUAUCUUAACUCUCCCUCUUAGCCAUCCAUCACCUGCUUCCGUAUCGGCCUACCCUUCUUUUGACUCUCAGUUUAAAAUUCAGCAGACAGGCAGCUUCCACCACCUCAAUGGCUACAAGUGCCAUAGGUGUGUCAGGCUUCUCUAACUUACCUCACUUCAGCCCCACCAAGGUAUUUGGUAAGUGCGUUCAUUUAUAGCUUUGUGUAUGACUAGCAGCUCAUAUGAUAACUUCCAUGGUGGAACACGUCUCUGGCAUCUACCCAAAUCUGGGUUCCCUGGGCCAUGAUCACCCUCAUACUCGGCUGGGGAUAAAUGAUCUAUUACCGUCUGUCUGUCUGUGGAACGAGAACUGUGGUUUUCUUCUAACAAUGGCCUUAUUGAGCUCUUAGUAUUUAUUUCCUUUAUUUUCAACAUCUUGUAUCUUCAUUGUGCUUCAUGCUUUCUGAAACACUGAAAUGCUCUCAUUUAAUGGCCAAAUUAGUAUAAGUUAUAUUUUUCUUAAAAGUCAAGAUAACUUGAACCAAUUCAAAAGUGCCAUCACUAAACCGCACAGACUACCCAGCCCUCAGAAUCUGUCGUUCUAGAAGGUCACAGGGAUAAUGAUGGCUUAGACAUCAGAGACACCAAGAUCCGAAUAUUGCCAAGGUAGCCUCCAAAUGUCCUUCCUUGGUUAAAAUCCUGAUCUUUCCUACAGUCUUGCUAACCUUGAAGCUUCUGGCUUCCUUUUGGUCUAUCACGUGAGUGUGUUCGAGCAUGGGUGUGUUUGCGCACGUGUGUUGUAUGCACAUGAGUGCAGGUUCACCCUGGAGGCCAGAAGGUUUUGCCCAGGCUGGCUGGAGGGAUCACAGGCUGCUGCCUACUCAACUUGACCUCUCUGGAAGAGAAGGGAAUGUUUUCACCUACUGAUCUAUUUUUCCCCCCUUAAGUUCAAAUUUCUGUGUUUAAGAGAAUCAGCUCAUUGUGUAUUCAUCUGUCAUUCUCAUUUCUUCUUGUCUGUUUGUAAUCAUAGCCACAUUACUUUUUAAAACUUUUUAUUUGUGUGUGUAUGUGCCUGAGAGAGACAGAGACAGAGACAGAGAGACAGAGACUAUAUGUGGAUCUGGGGACCUGAGGUGCUGCAUUGCCAGGAGUUGGUUCUCUUCUCCCACCAUGUGGGGAUUAAACUUGGGUAACCAAGCUUGCACGGUAAAAGCUUGAACCUAAUGAGCCAUUUUGCUGGCCCCCUUUGCCAGGUUUUCUAUGGUACCUUUAGGGAGUACCCUGGCUGGCCUUGAACUUGCUGGGUAAAUGGUGGGUGAAACCCAGGCAGGACCUAGUGCAGGCAAACCCUCUCUCACCACGGCUAUACCUCAGCCUGGAUGGUUUUGUAUCUACCUUUACAGCUCAUCUGGGGGCUGUGGAGAUGGCUCAGAGGUUAAGAACACUGACUGCUAUUUUAGAGGUCCUGACUUCAAUUUCCAGCAACCACAUAAAUAAAAUAAGUAUUUAAAUAAGUAUUUUUUAAUAGAAAAGAUUUUUUUAAAGAAAGAACACUAUACACACACACACACACACACACACACACACACACACACAUACAUAUACACUGUAGCUGUCUUCAGACACACCAGAAGAGGGCAUUACAGAUGGUUGUGAGCCACCAUGUGGUUGCUGGGAUUUGAACUCAGGACCUCUGGGAGUGCAGUCAGUGCUCUAAUCACUGAGCCAUCUCUGGAGUGUCACAAAUAAAUCUUAGAAAGAAAAAAAAAGUUCAUUUGGCAAAAAGCAGUGAACAAGCAUUAUGAUUGCAUGAGGCGAAAUGCUCUGGGUUUUCUUUAAACAGUGUUUGGGAUAAGUGCACAUUCUUAUGUAGUAAAAACCACACACCUCAAGAGUUUUAAACUCUGGCCUCUCAUCCCAUCAAAAGGCCAAUUCACUCACACAUUACCACUGCCCAAACUUGUAGAGGAAACAUUUACAAUAGCAACAAGGUGAUGCAAUAUCUUUGAAUAAAAUUAACAAGAAAUAUGUCCCAGGUUUAGAAAAACUUUGAGCAUGAAGGGAGACCAGAAAAUAGAAAGAAAAACAGAAAGGCAACUCUUCCUAGUGAGGUUCCAACAGCAAAGAGCAUGUGAUGCUUGUCCUUCCCGAGUCAUUUUUAAAUUCAAAGCAAAUUCCACGAAAAAAAAUGGCAGUUAUUUUCUGUUUUGUGUUUUCAUCAACAAACAGUGGUGCAGUUCACGUGAAUUAGCAAGGGGCUCUAGUUAAAAAUAAAAACUGUAGGGAGGCAAAGUUUAGAACAGAGGCUGAAGGAACACCCAUUCAGAGCCUGCCCCACAUGUGGCCCAUACAUAUACAGCCACCCAAUUAGACAAGAUGGAUGAAGCAAAGAAGUGCAGGCCGACAGGAACCGGAUGUAGAUCUCUUCUGAGAGACACAGCCAGAAUACAGCAAAUACAGAGGCGAAUGCCAGCAGCAAACCAGUGAACUGAGAAUAGGACCCCGAUUGAAGGAAUCGGAGAAAGGACUGAAAGAGCUGAAGGGGCUUAAGACCCCAUAUGAACAACAAUGCCAACCAACCAGAGCUUCCAGGGACUAAGCCACUACCCAAAGACUAUACAUGGACUGACCCUGGGCUCCAAUCUCAUAGGUAGCAAUGAAUAGCCUCGUAAGGGCACCAGUGGAAGGGGAAGCCCUUGGUCCUGCCAAGACUGAACCCCCAGUGAAGGGGAUUCUUGGGGUGAGGGGGGGAAGAGGGGGAGGAUGGGGAGGGGAACAGCCACAUAGAAGGGGAGGGGGAGGGGCCAGGGUGAUGUUGGCCUGGAAACCAGAAAAGGGAAUAACAUUUGAAAUGUAAAUAAGAAAUACCCAAUUUAAUAAAGAUGGAGAAAAAAAUAAAAAUAUAAAAGCUGGAAGGCCUGGGGCAGGUGGACCUCUAUGAGUUCAAGGCAAGCCUAGUCUGCACAGGGAGAUCAAAGACAGCCAGAGUAGUUACAUACUAGAGAAUCUGAAUUAAAAAAAAAGCAAGCAGGAAAGAUGGGCUCGGCUGCUUAGGAUGAGGACAAGGGAUAGGCUGAGCUGAAUUCGAGGUCAAGCCUUAACAACAAAGUGAGACUCUAUAAAAAUUAAAUAUGCCACCAUUAACCUCAGCAUGCAGGAGGCAGAGAGGCAAGCAUAUCUCUAACUUUGAAGCCAGCCUGGUCUGCAGAGAGAGUUCCAGGACAGCCAGGAGCCAGGGCUACACAGAGAAACUGUUUACCAAAAAAAAAAAAAAAAAAAAAAAAAGACAUAAAAGUAAUUCAAAGCCAGGCACUAGGGAUCCAUCCCUUUAGCCCCAGUACUUGAGAGGCAGAGGUAGGUGGAUAUUUGUGAGCUGGAGGCCAGCGUGGUCUACACAGCAAGUUCCAGGAUAGCCAGAGCUAUCCCCCACUAACCUCUCCAAAAAAAAAAAAAAAAAAAUUAAAAUGCACAGAAGUAGAUUCUCACAGUGUUGUGAAGAGUUGAACAUCAGGUUCUACAAGGAGGCAUAAAGAACUCUAACGUUGGAGUAGGGAAAGUCUUUCCCAUCAGAACCCAGAAAUGGUAGGGAGAUAUAAAUUUGUAUGUGUGUAUUUACUGUCACAUGGGUGUAGGCUGUGGAAAGGACAAGUGUGGAAAUCAGAGGACAACCUCGUGGACUUGGUUCUUCCCUUCCACCUUUAUGUGGAUCUCGAUAUCAAAUUCAUGUCACCAGGUCACCAGCAAUUGUUACCUACCAUCUCCGUCGUACAAGAUAUACCGGCAUGCAAGCAUUUCACUUAAAAAAAAAGUUAUGCUGGAAAAAUAUGGAAGAAAAAAUCCGGAAUGUUUUAAAAAGUAGAGUCAGGCAUGCAGCAGCACAUCUCAUAAUCCCAGCACACAGCGGGCUGAUGUGGGGCACACGAGGUCAGGACAGCAUGGAAUAUAUAUGUGGAGACCUUGUUGAAAAGCAUUUUGUUUGCUCAUUUUCUCAAAUGAAAGAAACCAGAGUAAAUAGUUAACAGCACACAUGAAGCAUUAGUUCCAGGAGAGAUGGUGCAGCCAUAAGAAAGAAUAACCUGGUAUUGAGAAGUGGGACAAGGGCUGGAGAGGUGACUGCUUCCAGAGGACCUGGGUUCAGUGUUUAGCACACACAUCAGAUGGCGCAAAACCAUCUACUCAAGAGCUCAGGUCCGUGGGAUCCGUGCCCUCCUCCUGGCCUCCCUGAGCACCCACAGGCACACGUACACACACACACACACACACACGCACCACGUGAGAGAGACAGAAUAGUUUUCAAGGUUUGACAAAUGAAUCUACAGGUUAGAAAUGUACAAAUAAAGGAAUCCAAAUCACUAAAAACAUGGGGAAAGAGUAAUUUGCUGCUGCUGUUAUUACAGGGUAGAGGAAUCAGACUGAUUCAUUAACUAACAAUGGCAAUGCAUUUGGAAAUGUGUUGUUAGGUGACUUCAUUAUGUAGACAUCACGCAAUGUCCCUAUCCAAAAUGGAUACAUUACUAGGCCUAUUUACUUAUUUAUGAACAGAUCUCCCUAUGUACACUUGGCUGAUCUAGAAUGCACUACAUAGGCCAAGCUGGCCUAGACCUCACAGAAAUAUUCUGCUUCGGUCUUUGCAAGUGCUUGGAAUAAGAUGUGUUCACAAUUGGCAAGGCCAUUCAAUCUUAUAAAACCACCAUUAUAUGUGUGCCACACCACUGACUAUGGCCAAUGACUGUUACACACACACACACACACACACACACACACACACACACUGUAAAAACAGUACAAAGCCAUUUUUCAUGAAAUUUUUUGAAAAUAAAAUUCCGUAUAGUCUGGAAUGAUACUCAGAAUAUUCGGGAUGGCUGCCUCUGGAGGUGACAGGAGAUCAGAGGCUGGAGCGAUGCCAACAUGUCCCAUUGUGUUACUAUAAUAGCUGAACAGGGAUCUGUCCUACCAUGGACACAUACCUCAGUCAUUACUAGGUAUGUGAGUUUGGUUCUUGCUUGUGUUAGAUUUGUACAAUCCGCUGAGCAAAGAUCUGAAAUGAGGCUUGAUUUUCCAGUCAGACUCUGUAUCCUGGAGCGAGCCAUGGUUAAUCAUUACCAGUGUGAACAGCCCCUAAUGACACCAGAAGCUAAUUAUUCAUUGCCCCUUACAAGAAACAAGAACAGAUGAUGUCAUAGCCUGGGAGCAGAUGACCAGAUGUGAAAAAGUAAAACCAUUUACCUUGAUACAGAUAGAUAGUUUUUAUAAGCCAAGCACUGCAAACAACACUGAAUCAUUCUCACUAAAAAUGAAUGAAAUGUGUGGGUGAAGUUACUAUGCUCCUUGGGAGGCGGGAACUUGGGUAACGGAAGGCUUUUCCAGUGCAGUGGUGUGUUUGUAAACGGAGUGAUCUCCACAGGGUACCCUGCAUGAGCCAAGGCAAUUCCUUCAUAUUUUUCUUUUCUUUUUUUUAAAAAAUACAAUUAGCCUUUACUGUUUCUUUUUUUAAAAAAAUAUUUAUUUACUUUACAUAUGUGAGUACACUGUAGCUGUCUUCACACACACCAGAAGAGGGCAUCAGAUCCCACUACAGAUGGUUGUGAGCCACCAUGUGAUUGCUGGGAAUUGAACUCAGGACCUCUGGAAGAGCAGUCGGUGCUCUUCACUGCUGAGCCACCUCUCCAGCCCCAAACCUUUUUUUUUUUAAUGAAAGCUUUUACUAUCGUCUUGUAUGUGUGUGUGUGCCCUCCCCUGGCACUGAAGUUACAGAGUUAUGAACCAUGUAGGUUCUGGGACUCUUCCCUCCUCCAGAAGUGCAUCCCCAAGACUCCAGCUGCCGAGCCUUUGUCUAGCUGCCACUCCCAUCUUAUUUUUAGGAAAUCCUAAAGAGAUGCGUAAUCUCAGGUACAAUAUUCACCAUUCCCAGAGUGGUUUUGCUUUUCAACUUUCUAAAAUUAUGGAUAUCUUUUUCCCUUUUCUUCUUACUCUAUAGCUCAGGCCCGAAGGUAUGGGAAUUCCCUGUGUAACCCAGACGCGGACCCUAACCUCCUGCCUGAGCCUUCAGAGUGCUGGGCUUACAGGCGUGGGUUACCACCUGGUUCUCUGAUGAGGUAGGAAGGGAGCUCUGGGUUUUGUGAAGGGCUCUACACACUGAGCAGCAGGACCAGCCCGUGUGCUCUGGACUCCUAAGCUGUCUUCCUGCAAGCUGCUUCUUCUAUUGUCUGAUAUAAACCCCAGACAUCACAUCACUUCUGGAUCAGCAGUUAUGAUUAACGUUCUAGCUUGCCUGAUCAGUAGCGCUGAAGUGUGGGGCCAAAACGACUUACUCACGAAGGGCUGGGUUAUCCUAGAAUUAUACACCCCAUUGUCUUCUAGUUGUUUUCUGCUUUGAGGGCCAAAUGUUUCUCUGAGAGAACAAUUACUUUUCGUCCUCAGUUGGUAGUUUAAUGCUUUUAGUUCGAAUAGCCCAUUAUUUAGUCCAAUAAAGAGAUAAAACAUCUCUCCUUCAGACAGGCUUAUUCUAGAUACUCAUUUCUAUUCUUUCUGCUGGCGCCCAACACAAUGUGCUGUUUGUUCUGCACUGUUUGGUUGAUGAAACACAUUAGAAUCUUCACACAUUCUUCCUGUGCUGGGAAUUGGAUAGUUAUUGUGACCAAAUGCUCCUCAGAAAGCAAUGUAAGGGAAGAUUUUAUUUUGUCUCAUGAUUCAAGUGACCAUGGACAAAAAGACAAAAGCCUUUAUAUUUUCUUCCUUUCUUUUUCUGUAAAACACCACACACAGAGAUAUGGAAGGUGUCCUUCAGGCAUGUGGAAGUCAGAGGACAGCUCUUGAGAGCCCGCUCUCUCUCCACCUUGUUUCUGGGAUUGGAGUCUUUUCUGUUGCUUCUCACUGAGUACUCGGGCCUAGGCGGUCUGCAAGCUCCGCUGAUUCUCCCCUCUCCAUCGCUUCCCGGGAGCGCUGGGAUUACAGGUGCACACCACUGCGCCCAAGUGGGUUCUGGGGAUCAAACGCAGGUCAGGCUGGUGCAGCUGAGCAAGGCUAGUGCUUCAACUGUCAAGCCAUCUGUCCAUCUCAGGAGGGAUCUUCAUUAAACGGAAAGAAAUUAUUGUGCUCAUGCAAAUAGAAACAAGUUUUAAGUCGACAUUUUAAACUUCUACAAAUAGUGUGGGCCUGACUGUGUCUUGUGUGUAAGUCUUGCGUGGGGUGUGCAGUGCUGUGCAGGUACUGUGGCUGUUGCUGUUCUGUAGAGAGUAGCACGUAACCUUAAUGAGAAAACGAAAUCACUUCAGGUUCACAGCAGGCUUCAGAACACAGACUGCUAUUUCUAUUUUUUUUUUUUUAAUUUUUACUUUUUGGAGACAGGGUUUCUCUGUGUAGCCCUGGCUGCUCUGGAUCUCACUUUGUAGACCAGGCUGGCCUCUGCCUCCCAGUGCUGGGAUUAAAGGCAUGCACCACCAGUGCCCAGCCAGCAUGUGCAUUUUUGACAGACACAUUUCUGAAGGGACUUUAUGCCCUUCUCAGUGCAGGUGUCAAGUAACCUGAUUUCAGUAUUGGCUUUUUUUUUUUAGCCUUGAUCACGUUUGAGAUGAUGUGUCCCAAACUCUCCUCUGUGGGUAUUAUGUUUACCCUUGUGGUUGAUAAAUCUAUCAAAUGUAUCAAAAUAGGUGGAUGUUCUGUCCUUGAAGCCUCAACCUUGGCCUCCUCACUCCCUUACGCCUUCUCCUUGCUGUGCUGUGUCCUCGGUGUCUAGAGCUGCUCUUCCAGCUGUCUCUCUCGCUGUUUACUCACAGGAGCGUGGGCGUUGGAGGCCUGGUUUACUUAGUGCAUUAACAGCCUGUUGUCAUAGCAUUAUUAUUAUUAUUGUAAAAAUUCUCAGAUUUACCCAGAGGAAGAUCCUCAAACUGUUUUUUUUAUUAAUUAAAUUUAUUCUUUGACAAUUUCAUAUAAA